UAAUAGCGUAUAUUAAAGUUGUUGCAGUUAAAAGCUCGUAGUCGGAUCUUGGGGUCGGACGGACUGUCGGCCAAUGGUCGGACGGUUUGUUUGUCUCUUUUUUCUAGGAGGGCGUCACCAUUUAUUUGGGGGCGAUUCCGCUUAGAUCGUUUACUUUGAAAAAUUAGAGUGUUCAAAGCAGGCCAUCGCUUGAAUACAUUAGCAUGGAAUAAUGGAAUAGGACUGCGGUUCUAUUUUGUUGGUUUCUAGGACCGAAGUAAUGAUUAAUAGGGAUAGUUGGGGCCGUUUGUAUUCCAUUGUCAGAGGUGAAAUUCUUGGAUUUAUGGAAGACAAACUUCUGCGAAAGCAUUCGGCAAGGAUGUUUUCAUUGAUCAAGAACGAAAGUUAGGGGAUCGAAGAUGAUUAGAU
Molecule: ribosomal RNA, 408 nt
Filed under: uncultured eukaryote
Lineage: Eukaryota
Description: bacterial SSU rRNA
Rfam family: Eukaryotic small subunit ribosomal RNA
Source: RNAcentral